RNAcentral lists this non-coding RNA (148 nucleotides) under uncultured Selenomonas sp. Lineage: Bacteria; Bacillati; Bacillota; Negativicutes; Selenomonadales; Selenomonadaceae. The record is from RNAcentral.
AGGUGUCGCAAGACUCAAUAGAGAAGCCGGAAAAGAGCCGGCGCGGUCCCGCCACUGUGUCAGCGAGCGAAUCUGCAGGAGACGUCACUGGGGAAACCUGGGAAGGCGCAGAGGAGCGAUGAACUGGAGCCAGGAGAACUGCCUGAUC